CAGCAGCCACGGUAAUACGAAGGGUGCAAGCGUUAAUCGGAAUUACUGGGCGUAAAGCGUGCGUAGGCGGUGAGUUAAGUCUGCUGUGAAAUCCCCGGGCUCAACCUGGGAAUGGCAGUGGAUACUGGCUCGCUAGAGUGUGUCAGAGGAUGGUGGAAUUCCCGGUGUAGCGGUGAAAUGCGUAGAGAUCGGGAGGAACAUCAGUGGCGAAGGCGGCCAUCUGGGACAACACUGACGCUGAGGCACGAAAGCGUGGGGAGCAAACAGGAUUAGAUACCCCAGUAGUCCCUGUCUCUUAUAC
RNAcentral lists this ribosomal RNA (301 nucleotides) under uncultured bacterium. RNAcentral describes it as "partial 16S ribosomal RNA". It matches the Rfam family "Bacterial small subunit ribosomal RNA", at positions 509 to 807 of the family's 1533-position model. The record is from RNAcentral.